RNAcentral lists this ribosomal RNA (686 nucleotides) under Salmonella enterica subsp. enterica serovar Braenderup. Its description in RNAcentral is "partial 23S ribosomal RNA". It matches the Rfam family "Bacterial large subunit ribosomal RNA", at positions 2233 to 2912 of the family's 2925-position model. Lineage: Bacteria; Pseudomonadati; Pseudomonadota; Gammaproteobacteria; Enterobacterales; Enterobacteriaceae. The record is from RNAcentral.
CCGUGAUCCGGGUUGCGGACAGUGUCUGGUGGGUAGUUUGACUGGGGCGGUCUCCUCCUAAAGAGUAACGGAGGAGCACGAAGGUUGGCUAAUCCUGGUCGGACAUCAGGAGGUUAGUGCAAUGGCAUAAGCCAGCUUGACUGCGAGCGUGACGGCGCGAGCAGGUGCGAAAGCAGGUCAUAGUGAUCCGGUGGUUCUGAAUGGAAGGGCCAUCGCUCAACGGAUAAAAGGUACUCCGGGGAUAACAGGCUGAUACCGCCCAAGAGUUCAUAUCGACGGCGGUGUUUGGCACCUCGAUGUCGGCUCAUCACAUCCUGGGGCUGAAGUAGGUCCCAAGGGUAUGGCUGUUCGCCAUUUAAAGUGGUACGCGAGCUGGGUUUAGAACGUCGUGAGACAGUUCGGUCCCUAUCUGCCGUGGGCGCUGGAGAACUGAGGGGGGCUGCUCCUAGUACGAGAGGACCGGAGUGGACGCAUCACUGGUGUUCGGGUUGUCAUGCCAAUGGCACUGCCCGGUAGCUAAAUGCGGAAGAGAUAAGUGCUGAAAGCAUCUAAGCACGAAACUUGCCCCGAGAUGAGUUCUCCCUGAGACUUUAGGUCUCCUGAAGGAACGUUGAAGACGACGACGUUGAUAGGCCGGGUGUGUAAGCGCAGCGAUGCGUUGAGCUAACCGGUACUAAUGAACCGUG